RNAcentral lists this ribosomal RNA (413 nucleotides) under Escherichia coli. RNAcentral's name for it is "partial 23S ribosomal RNA". It matches the Rfam family "Bacterial large subunit ribosomal RNA", at positions 2536 to 2925 of the family's 2925-position model. The record is from RNAcentral. Lineage: Bacteria; Pseudomonadati; Pseudomonadota; Gammaproteobacteria; Enterobacterales; Enterobacteriaceae.
CUCAUCACAUCCUGGGGCUGAAGUAGGUCCCAAGGGUAUGGCUGUUCGCCAUUUAAAGUGGUACGCGAGCUGGGUUUAGAACGUCGUGAGACAGUUCGGUCCCUAUCUGCCGUGGGCGCUGGAGAAUUGAGGGGGGCUGCUCCUAGUACGAGAGGACCGGAGUGGACGCAUCACUGGUGUUCGGGUUGUCAUGCCAAUGGCACUGCCCGGUAGCUAAAUGCGGAAGAGAUAAGUGCUGAAAGCAUCUAAGCACGAAACUUGCCCCGAGAUGAGUUCUCCCUGACUCCUUGAGAGUCCUGAAGGAACGUUGAAGACGACGACGUUGAUAGGCCGGGUGUGUAAGCGCAGCGAUGCGUUGAGCUAACCGGUACUAAUGAACCGUGAGGCUUAACCUUACAACGCCGAAGGUGUUU